RNAcentral lists this ribosomal RNA (1791 nucleotides) under Triticum aestivum (bread wheat). Its description in RNAcentral is "partial small subunit ribosomal RNA". The record is from RNAcentral. Lineage: Eukaryota; Viridiplantae; Streptophyta; Magnoliopsida; Poales; Poaceae.
AUGCAUGUUGAUACUAUAAUGGAAUCUCGUGAUGCAACAUUUUUUGAGAACAUAUUUCCUAUGAAAGAUAUGCAUAGCAUUGCUAGAUUUUCUUCUGAGAUAAUUCCUGAAUCUAGUACAACUGAUGAAUAUUUCGAACAAUCACAUGAGGAAGUCCUUGAGAAGGAUAACAAUGAAGUUCCUAGAAGGAACAAGAGACAAAGGAUUGCAAAAUCCUUUGGUGAUGAUUUCAUUGUAUACCUUGUGGACGACACACCCAAGACGAUUGCGGAAGCAUAUGCAUCUCCGGAUGUAGAUGAUUGGAAAGAAGCUGUUCAUAAUGAGAUGGACUCAAUUCUUUCUAAUGGAACUUGGGAACUAACUGAUAGACCAUAUGGUUGUAAACCUGUGGGCUGUAAGUGGGUGUUCAAAAAGAAGCUAAAGCCUGAUGGUACUAUUGAUAAGUACAAGGCGCGGCUAGUGGCCAAGGGCUACACUCAGAAAGAAGGCGAAGAUUACUUUGACACCUAUUCACCCGUUGCUAGAAUGACCACCAUUCGAGUGUUACUUUCCUUGGCUGCCUCUUAUGGUCUUAUCAUUCAUCAAAUGGAUGUAAAGACAGCUUUUCUCAAUGGAGAGUUGGAAGAGGAGAUCUAUAUGGAUCAGCCUGACGGGUUUGUGGUAAAGGGUGAAGAGAGAAAGGUGUGCAAGUUGUUAAAAUCUUUGUAUGGUCUGAAACAGGCACCUAAGCAAUGGCAUGAGAAGUUUGAAAGAACUCUGACUUCUGCAGGAUUUGUCAUUAACGAGGCUGAUAGGUGUGUUUACUAUCGCCAUGGUGGGGGCAAUAGUGUCAUAUUAUGUUUGUAUGUGGACGACAUACUGAUCUUUGGUACGAACAUUAAUGCAAUUAAUGAGGUCAAGUCUUUUCUAUCAAAAAGUUUUGACAUGAAAGAUCUGGGAGAAGCCGAUGUAAUUCUAAACAUCAAACUUAUUAAGGAUGAGAGUGGGAUUACAUUAACGCAGUCUCACUAUGUUGAGAAGGUCUUGAACCGAUUCGGUUUUAUGGAUAGCAAGCCUUCUCCAACACCUUAUGAUCCCAGCGUGACACUCAGAAAGAACAAGAAAGAAACGGGAGAUCAAUUAAGAUACUCUCAAAUUGUCGGUUCACUCAUGUACUUAGCUAGCGCUACAAGACCAGAUAUCUCUUUUGCUGUGAGCAAACUGAGUAGGUUCAUGUCCAACCCGGGUGAUGAUCAUUGGCAUGCACUAGAAAGGGUCUUGCGCUAUCUGAGAGGUACUAUGAGUUACGAAAUUACUUAUUCAGGGCAUCCUGCUGUGCUAGAAGGAUAUAGUGAUUCAAAUUGGAUCUCCGAUGUUGAUGUACUUUACGCAACAAGUGGGUAUGUAUUUACUCAUGGUGGUGGCGCAGUGUCAUGGAGGUCUUGCAAGCAAACCAUAUUGACGAGGUCAACUAUGGAAGCAGAAUUAACUGCUUUGGACACAGCUACUGUUGAGGCAGAAUGGCUGCGUGAGCUCUUGAUGGACUUGCCGGUUGUUGAAAAACCUGUACCGGCUAUUCUUAUGAAUUGUGAUAACCAAAUGGUUAUCGCUAAAGUGAACAAUUCUAAAGAUAAUGCAAAGUCAUCAAGACACGUGAAAAGACGUUUGAAGUCUGUCAGGAAGUUGAGAAACUCCGGAGUAAUAACUGUUACGUAUAUACAAACAGACAAAAACCUGGCAGAUCCCUUUACAAAGGGACUGUCACGAAAUGUGAUAGAUAUUGCAUCGAGGGAGAUGGGUAUGAGACCCAUA